GGGUGCUCGUGGGCUUUCUGCCAUGAGCAAAACCAGUCUUGCACCUGGUAGAAAGAACAAAGCCCCGAAAGUUAAUGUGAUUAACCAACGAGGCAAUGUACAUGUAUCCAACAAUACAAAUAUUAGCCUCUUCAUCAAAUGGAGGCAAUGAAAAAUGCCAAAAAG
Molecule: antisense RNA, 165 nt
Filed under: Enterovibrio nigricans DSM 22720
Lineage: Bacteria; Pseudomonadati; Pseudomonadota; Gammaproteobacteria; Vibrionales; Vibrionaceae
Description: sok antitoxin
Rfam family: sok antitoxin (CssrC)
About the family: Also identified in Shigella as CssrC.
Source: RNAcentral